GCCGUGUGGCCUGCUGCCUCUGCCAAUUUAAAAAUACCAUUGAGGUUGUCUAAGAGAGUCAAGCUGUGUUCUGACAGUGGAUGCCUGACAGACGUCACACGUUGUGAUGAAGAAACAUCUAUAGGGAAUGCAGAAGGAUCGUUGAUGAAGGUGUUACAAGCCUGGAA
Molecule: long non-coding RNA, 167 nt
Organism: Aethalodelphis obliquidens (Pacific white-sided dolphin)
Lineage: Eukaryota; Metazoa; Chordata; Mammalia; Artiodactyla; Delphinidae
Exons: 2
Source: RefSeq, a predicted model, not a curated record